UCUGGAAGAGCAGUUGGUGCUCUUAACCUCUGAGCCAUCUCUCCAGCCCCUGGCCUUUGGAUUUUUUGAGUCUCUUUUAUGUCUCAUGACCUCCUGUUCUUCUGGAGCUCAUGGAAACUCAAUACUUGUUUGAUGAGUGACUGUGGUAUUGGAAUAUAAAUUCGAAGACUGUCUUGAGAAAGGAGAAAGUUUCCAGGGGUUUCCUGUCAAGCUGUACUCCCCAUCCUUAGCCCACAAACUCUGUGGGUUUUGCUAUGUUAAGUAGUUGGAACAUCAGAGGAAGAAUAUUUUAUUGCAGGCAAAAAUAAGAUAUUCAAAUUUCAAUAUCCAUGGAUAAAGUUUUAUUGGAACACAGGAAGUAGACAAAAUAUUUUUGUACUAAGAUCAUUGACCCAUUUAUUGAAGAAGCACAGAUUUUAAUUUAUAGGAUGCUCCCAAACUACUUCUACAGUAGUAGUUUACAUCCCAAUUCAGGAACACUCAGAGAGCUGCAGGGCUUUUGUUGCUCGAUUUCCUCGUCUGCUUGGUGCAGAGACACUCUGGUCCCAAGGGAGCUUAUGCUGCCUGUUGGAGGGCAAAGAUGAGGGGCACAAUAGUGCAGUUCAGUGGGGAGUCCAGAUUUCAGGUGGUAAUAAAAAACACGGAAAGUCAAAUGGCAACAUUCUGUCUGCCCCAUGAGCUCCAGCCAGAUGCUCUCAGGCUUGGAGGCUAGAGAUGCAUGAAGUGAGCCUGUGGUACCCCAAGUUUACAGAUGAGAUUUCUGCAAGGAAGCAACUUGCCUGAGGCUAGGUGGAGACUUGACCAUUUUCUUUCUUUAGCUGCUUGUCUGGACUUAGCUCAAAGCACCCUUACUUUGGAGAAAGAGCCAUAGACCUGCUUUCAGGACAUUUCUAGCAAGCACACGAGUCGUCACCGGCUGGGUGGAUACUGGGAUUUAAAAAGCAGAAUGUAAGAUAGGAAGGAUCUGGAUCCUUUUUACUUAAGAUAUGGUUGUCAGAUCAGCAGCACAGACACUACCCAGCUGCUGGUCUCCUGCAGGGUGACAGGUGUUUCUAGGGCUUGUGCUAGACCUUGGAUGGCACGAACCAUCUGGAGUUGAAUUAGUUCCUAACCCACAUGUAUCUCAGAAUACCCAGGGAACUUACAUCAGGCUAAUGGAGACCUGGGGUCUAUCCAAUGCUCCCUACCCCCUUCUUCUGUGGUUGGAAUAAGCUAUAAUUCCUCACAGAGUCAUUUUCCUUCUGUAAAAUCCCCAAAUCAGUCAUUUUCAAUCUUAACUGCCCAUUGUUACUGCCUGGAGAGGCUUUAAGUUGUUCUGAUAGCUGAGGGCCCACAGUCAGAAAAUCUGUGUCAAAUGAUACAUUUUCCACAUCAUUGUAAUUGGUCCCUGACUUCUGAAGAUUGGGCAUGCAGUUUUGACUUUAUGAUGGUGUGAAAGUGAUAUAUAUUUAGUAAAAAGCACACCUUCGAUUUUGAUCUUUUUCCAAGUCAAUGAUAUGUGAUAUGAUACUCUCUUGUCAUGGUGUCAACCAAAGGAAAUGAAAAAUAUUUUGGAGUGGUCUGUGUGGCUAAGCUAGCAUGUUUGGUAGAUGGCAUGUAUGGAAUAUCCUUGAGCUUACAACAGUUUGUCUAGCUCUAACAUCAUUAGCCUCUGUAUCCUGCAGGCAGUGUUGAGAGCCAGGGAGCCAUAUCACUGUUCUCAGACCUAAGGACACAGCAGCACUUGGCUACGUGAUCCUCAGAGAUUCAGAAGCGCGGGUGCAGCUCAGCUCUGGAUUUAUUCAGUGAGUCAAGCAUCCACCUCCAAGAGAUGACUGCAAACAAUGCUAUAGUUAAACAAGGAGUGAUGAAAACGUAAAUGCUCCUUCAAGGCUCUCUAUCAGUUUUAACGUGUGAUUUGGAAGUCAGCAUGUGGUAAGGCUGAGCAUAAGUGUGUCCAGUAGGCUUCAUACAUGAUGCAAGAAGAGCAGCUUGGGAAACCCUAGACUCUGGCCUCUGAGGUCUUUCAGCUCCGAUUCUGAGGUCUCUCAGGGUAAUGAUUCAGUUCCUCCUCCCCAUGCUGGAGCCACUUGUUGACGGUAAGCUCAGGAGACGUCACCAUUUGUAAGCUCAGCUUCGGUGUCCCCUGAGAGAGCAGCCAGCUGGCAGCAGUCUGGAAAGCAGUAAACACAUUUGACUUUCCUCUAUUGGCAGUGCCACAUGGACACGAUGUCCGAGAAGACUGGGUCUCUGGGUCGAGGCAGGCAGCAGAGCCUCUGCUGCUUUGCACCAAACCAAGGGCAAGCCCGAUUCCUGCUGUUUGCUCUGUAUGCUGGCCCAAAGAACCCUGACUAAUCAGAUGGAGAACAUAAUGGUUGAAGUGAGCACGGGACUUGGCGCUUCCUGCACAUCCUUAUGAGUCCUCAGGCUCAGGCUGAGCACCAUAUUUCUGCAUCUAGCCUAUGGAUCAAUACUGCACUGAUAUUUAAAUAACAAAUAUUUAUUGUGUAUUUAGUCUUGUCUACAGUGAUGAUGUAUUUCACAUGUUCACUUAUUUAAUCAAUAAACAGUUAUUAGGUAUCUA
Molecule: long non-coding RNA, 2563 nt
Organism: Peromyscus leucopus (white-footed mouse)
Lineage: Eukaryota; Metazoa; Chordata; Mammalia; Rodentia; Cricetidae
Exons: 2
Source: RefSeq, a predicted model, not a curated record